GACGAACGCUGGCGGCGUGCUUAACACAUGCAAGUCGAACGGUAAGGCCCUGCUUUUGUGGGGUGCUCGAGUGGCGAACGGGUGAGUAACACGUGAGUAACCUGCCCUUGACUUUGGGAUAACUUCAGGAAACUGGGGCUAAUACCGGAUAGGAGCUCCUGCUGCAUGGUGGGGGUUGGAAAGUUUCGGCGGUUGGGGAUGGACUCGCGGCUUAUCAGCUUGUUGGUGGGGUAGUGGCUUACCAAGGCUUUGACGGGUAGCCGGCCUGAGAGGGUGACCGGCCGGAUUGGGUCUGAGAGACGGCCGGGACACCUACGGGAGGCAGGAGUGGGGAAUGUUGCACAAGGGGCGGGAGCCUGAUGCAGCAACGCCGCGUGCGGGAUGACUGCCGUCGGUUGGGAUGCCGCUUUCGCCUGUGACGAAGCGUGAGGGACGGUAAUGGGUAAAGAAGCACCGGCUAACUACGUG
This 468-nucleotide ribosomal RNA is filed under the name uncultured bacterium. RNAcentral describes it as "partial 16S ribosomal RNA". It matches the Rfam family "Bacterial small subunit ribosomal RNA", at positions 28 to 507 of the family's 1533-position model. The record is from RNAcentral.